CCAGACUCCUACGGGAGGCAGCAGUGGGGAAUAUUGCACAAUGGGGGAAACCCUGAUGCAGCGACGCCGCGUGAAGGAAGAAGUAUCUCGGUAUGUAAACUUCUAUCAGCAGGGAAGAAAACAGACGGUACCUGACUAAGAAGCCCCGGCUAACUACGUGCCAGCAGCCGCGGUAAUACGUAGGGGGCAAGCGUUAUCCGGAUUUACUGGGUGUAAAGGGGGCGCAGACGGCCAUGGCAAGCCCGGUGUGAAAGCCCGGGGCUCAACCCCGGGACUGCAUUUGAAACUGUCAGGCUGGAGUGCAGGAGAGGUAAGUGGAAUUCCUAGUGUAGCGGUGAAAUGCGUAGAUAUUAGGAGGAACACCAGUGGCGAAGGCGGCUUACUGGACUGUAACUGACGUUGAGGCUCGAAAGCGUGGGGAGCAAACAGGAUUAGAUACCCCGGUACG
This 448-nucleotide ribosomal RNA is filed under the name uncultured bacterium. Its description in RNAcentral is "bacterial SSU rRNA". It matches the Rfam family "Bacterial small subunit ribosomal RNA", at positions 331 to 793 of the family's 1533-position model. The record is from RNAcentral.